RNAcentral lists this ribosomal RNA (250 nucleotides) under uncultured bacterium. Its description in RNAcentral is "partial 16S ribosomal RNA". It matches the Rfam family "Bacterial small subunit ribosomal RNA", at positions 355 to 618 of the family's 1533-position model. The record is from RNAcentral.
UCGAGAAUCUUCCACAAUGGACGAAAGUCUGAUGGAGCGACGCCGCGUGAUGGAUGAAGAUCUUCGGAUUGUAAACAUCUUUUAUGAGAGAAAAAGUUUAUUGAUGGUACCUCAUGAAUAAGGACCUGCUAAACUCGUGCCAGCAGCAGCGGUAAUACGAGUGGUCCAAGCGUUAUCCGGAAUUAUUGGGCGUAAAGGGUCUGUAGGUGGCAUGAUUAGUCUCCCGUUAAAUCUUCAAGCUCAACUUGAA